GAUGAACGCUGGCGGCGUGCCUAAUACAUGCAAGUCGAGCGAACGGCGAGAAGCUUGCUUCUCUGAUGUUAGCGGCGGCCGGGUGAGUAACACGUGGAUAACCUACCUAUAAGCCUGGGAUAACUUCGGGAAACCGGAGCUAAUACCGGAUGAUAUUUUGAACCGCAUGGUUCAAAAGUGAAAGACGGUCUUGCUGUCACUUAUAGAUGGAUCCGCGCUGCAUUAGCUAGUUGGUAAGGUAACGGCUUACCAAGGCAACGAUGCAUAGCCGACCUGAGAGGGUGAUCGGCCACACUGGAACUGAGACACGGUCCAGACUCCUACGGGAGGCAGCAGUAGGGAAUCUUCCGCAAAGGGCGAAAGCCUGACGGAGCAACGCCGCGUGAGUGAUGAAGGUCUUCGGAUCGUAAAACUCUGUUAUUAGGGAAGAACAUAUGUGUAAGUAACUGUGCACAUCUUGACGGUACCUAAUCAGAAAGCCACGGCUAACUACGUG
RNAcentral lists this ribosomal RNA (496 nucleotides) under uncultured bacterium. RNAcentral's name for it is "partial 16S ribosomal RNA". It matches the Rfam family "Bacterial small subunit ribosomal RNA", at positions 28 to 507 of the family's 1533-position model. The record is from RNAcentral.